UACGUAGGGAGCGAGCGUUGUCCGGAUUUACUGGGUGUAAAGGGCGUGUAGGAGACGCAAGUCAGGAGUGAAAUCCCCGGGCUCAACCCGGGAACUGCUUUUGAAACUGCGUCCCUUGAGUAUCGGAGAGGCAGGCGGAAUUCCUAGUGUAGCGGUGAAAUGCGUAGAUAUAAGGAAGAACACCAGUGGCGAAGGCGGAUAACUGGACGAUGACUGACGUUGAGGCUCGAAAGCGUGGGGAGCAAACA
RNAcentral lists this ribosomal RNA (248 nucleotides) under uncultured Oscillospiraceae bacterium. RNAcentral's name for it is "partial 16S ribosomal RNA". It matches the Rfam family "Bacterial small subunit ribosomal RNA", at positions 524 to 774 of the family's 1533-position model. Lineage: Bacteria; Bacillati; Bacillota; Clostridia; Eubacteriales; Oscillospiraceae. The record is from RNAcentral.